RNAcentral lists this ribosomal RNA (440 nucleotides) under uncultured bacterium. Its description in RNAcentral is "partial 16S ribosomal RNA". It matches the Rfam family "Bacterial small subunit ribosomal RNA", at positions 339 to 795 of the family's 1533-position model. The record is from RNAcentral.
CUACGGGGUGCACCAGUAGGGAAUAUUGGGCAAUGGAGGCAACUCUGACCCAGCAACGCCGCGUGAAGGAUGAAGGUCUUCGGAUUGUAAACUUCUAAGCAUGGGGAAAAACAAAAUGAUGGUACCCAUAGAUAAGUCACGGCAAACUAUGUGCCAGCAGCCGCGGUAAUACAUAGGUGGCGAGCGUUAUCCGGAAUAACUGGGCGUAAAGGGAGUGUAGGUGGCAACCUAAGUUAUAUGUUAAAGCCAGUGGCUUAACCACUGUAAGCAUAUAAAACUGGGUAGCUAGAGUAUGAUAGAGGUAAGUGGAAUUCCUAGUGUAGCGGUAAAAUGCGUAGAGAUUAGGAAGAACACCAGAGGCGAAGGCGACUUACUGGAUCAAAACUGACACUGAGGCUCGAAAGCGUGGGGAGCAAACAGGAUUAGAUACCCCGGUAGUC